UACAGAGGGUGCAAGCGUUAAUCGGAAUUACUGGGCGUAAAGCGCACGUAGGCGGUUUUUUAAGUCAGAUGUGAAAGCCCCGGGCUCAACCUGGGAAUUGCAUUUGAAACUGGGGAACUAGAGUGUGUGAGAGGGGGGUAGAAUUCCAAGUGUAGCGAUGAAAUGCGUAGAGAUUUGGAGGAAUACCAGUGGCGAAGGCGGCCCCCUGGCACAACACUGACGCUCAGGUGCGAAAGCGUGGGGAGCAAACAGG
Molecule: ribosomal RNA, 253 nt
Filed under: uncultured bacterium
Lineage: Bacteria
Description: partial 16S ribosomal RNA
Rfam family: Bacterial small subunit ribosomal RNA
Source: RNAcentral